This 163-nucleotide small nuclear RNA is filed under the name Microcebus murinus (gray mouse lemur). RNAcentral describes it as "U1 spliceosomal RNA (ENSMICG00000019424.3)". It matches the Rfam family "U1 spliceosomal RNA". From Rfam's summary of the family: U1 is a small nuclear RNA (snRNA) component of the spliceosome (involved in pre-mRNA splicing). Its 5' end forms complementary base pairs with the 5' splice junction, thus defining the 5' donor site of an intron. There are significant differences in sequence and secondary structure between metazoan and yeast U1 snRNAs, the latter being much longer (568 nucleotides as compared to 164 nucleotides in human). The record is from Rfam by way of RNAcentral. Lineage: Eukaryota; Metazoa; Chordata; Mammalia; Primates; Cheirogaleidae.
AUACUUACCUGGCAGGGUAGAUACCAGGAUCAUGAAGAUGGUUUUCUCAGGAUGAGGCUCAUUCAUUGCACACAGGGUGUGCUGACCACUGUGAUUUCUCCAAAUGCAGGAACUUGACUACAUAAUUUGUGGUAGUGGGGAACAGCAUUCAUGCUUUCCCCUG